Molecule: non-coding RNA, 123 nt
Organism: Cucurbita pepo subsp. pepo (vegetable marrow)
Lineage: Eukaryota; Viridiplantae; Streptophyta; Magnoliopsida; Cucurbitales; Cucurbitaceae
Source: RefSeq, a predicted model, not a curated record
UUGACACAGAAGGAUAUAUCAGGACGUGUCAGAGACAAAUAUUGGAGAGCACCAACGACACUUCGAUAGCGAGUAGUAUCCUCAGAAUAAGUCCACUAGAAGUAUGGCGGACCUCAAUCCCAA